AACGUUUAAGACUAAGACGUUGAUAGGCUGGGUGUGUAAGCGUAGCGAUACGUUGAGCUAACCAGUACUAAUGAACCGUGAGGCUUAACCUG
Molecule: ribosomal RNA, 92 nt
Filed under: Proteus mirabilis
Lineage: Bacteria; Pseudomonadati; Pseudomonadota; Gammaproteobacteria; Enterobacterales; Morganellaceae
Description: partial 23S ribosomal RNA
Rfam family: Bacterial large subunit ribosomal RNA
Source: RNAcentral